CCAAUGUAUCUAGGCCUCUAAAAAUUGAAUUUUAUGGUGAACAAAUAAUUCUAAGCUGGCUAUGUUUGAGUAGGAAAGUAGAGCAUCAUUAUUUAGUAGCCAUAGUCCUAAAUCUAAUGUAUGAAUUUCUAAUUUAAAAAAAAAAAAGCUAUAUUUGGAAGAGGUGUUGCUUUUAGAUUUGCAGCUGAACUUGGUCUGGUUUUGUGUCGUUUCCUAUUUAAAACUUCAGGUGUGGCUUUCAACCCUUGAUGUUCUUGUACUGAUCACUUGCCAUACAGGCAUAUCAGGCAGGACAUAGAACCUAGAGGCCACUGAGACCAGUAGCCGGGAGGAGAAAUAUAUAUUUUAAAAUGCACGGAAGACACGGAGAAGAAAACAAGGCUACCCAAAUCUGACGAUGCAGCCUCUUCUGGGAAGCAUGAUUUGUCUCCAAGACUGACCUCCUUCCAGUGCGUGUCCUUGGUGUGUGGACCACCAUCCAAGUAUUUAUUGAGAACACACUAUGUCUUAGGCCCUUUGCCUGGUGUUGAAAAUGCAGCUGGGAUCAAGACAGACACAUCACUUUAUGAGAUGGGAGAAAACAACCAUUUCCACUGGAGUCAGGUAAAGACUGCAGUUUUUCUGCCAAGAAAAGAAAAGAUUACAGAGGGAAAAAAAAGAAGACAGGAGGAUCCUUUGUUCUUGAAAAGAGACUUGAGAAAUUUCUGCCUCACAACAUCACACAGCUGUUUUAAACAACAUCUGAUGGAAUUGUUGCUGGUUGUAUUAAAAAAUAAUU
Sus scrofa (pig) is the source of this 778-nucleotide non-coding RNA. Lineage: Eukaryota; Metazoa; Chordata; Mammalia; Artiodactyla; Suidae. The record is from RefSeq and is a predicted model, not a curated record.